CCGCUGCCAACCUAUCUAUUGCUGCUAAGCUAUCCCUCGCUGCUAAGCUAUCGCCGCUGCCAACCUAUCUAUUGCUGCAAGCUAUCCCUCGCUGCUAAGCUAUCCCUCGCCGCUAAGCUAUCCCUCGCUGCUAAGCUAUCCCUCACUACUAAGCUAUCUAUCGCUGCUAAUCUAUCGCUGCCAACCUAUCUAUCGCUGCCAACCUAUCUAUCGCUGCCAAUUUAUCUAUCGCUGCCAAUUUAUCUACCACUGCCAAUCUAUCUAUCACUGCUAAUCUAUCUAUUGCUGCUAAUCUAUCGCUGCUAAUCUAUUGCUGCUGCCAAUCUAUCUAUCACUGCUAAUCUAUCACUGCUAAUCUAUCUAUCGCUGCUAAUCUAUCGCUGCUGUCAAUCUAUCUAUCGCUGCUAAUCUAUCGCUGCUAAUCUAUCGCUGCCAACCUAUCUACCGCGGCGAAUCUAUCUAUUGCUGCCAACCAACCUACCUACCACUGCCAACCUAUCUAUCGCUGCCAAUCUAUCGCUGCCAAUCUAUCGCUGCCAAUCUAUCGCUGCCAACCUAUCUACUGCAGUGAAUCUAUCUAUCACUAUCAUUACUAGUUCAAAAUAGAACUAGAGCAUAAAUACAUUAAACUUCUUUUGAUAGAUAAUGAUUUUUGAUAACACUCAUAGCAUUAUAUCAUCUAUAUAGGGUAAAUCAUGGUCCCAUUUGGUCCCAUUUUAACAAAAUGAGAUCAAAUGGGAUCAGAAUCAGUAAUUUAUAAGAAGAACAUGACCUGAGACUAGAUUUAUAAUAUAAACAGUGUAAAGUUACUAAUUUAAUAAACACUAUAU
Molecule: small RNA, 830 nt
Filed under: Histoplasma ohiense
Lineage: Eukaryota; Fungi; Ascomycota; Eurotiomycetes; Onygenales; Ajellomycetaceae
Description: hypothetical lncRNA
Source: RNAcentral